UUGGUGAGGUAACGGCUCACCAAGGCAUCGAUGGGUAUGGGGUCUUAAAGGAUGGUCCCACACACUGGCACUGAGACACGGGCCAGACUCCUACGGGAGGCAGCAGUGAGGAAUAUUGGUCAAUGGGUGAGAGCCUGAACCAGCCAUCCCGCGUGCAGGAUGACGGUCCUAGUGAUUGUAAACUGCUUUUCUAUGAGAUGAAUAAGAAUUACGUGUAGUUCGAUGACCGUAUUAUAGGAAUAAGCAUCGGCUAACUCCGUGCCAGCAGCCGCGGUAAUACGGAGGAUGCAAGCGUUAUCCGGAUUUAUUAGGUUUAAAGGGUGCGUAGGUGGGCGUUUAAGUCAGUGGUUAAAGCCAUUAGCUUAACUAAUGUAUGCCAUUGAUACUGGAUGUCUUGAAUGUGGUAGAGGUUGGCGGAAUGUGUUGUGUAGCGGUGAAAUGCUUAGAUAUAACACAGAACACCGAUUGCGUAGGCAGCUUACUAUUCCAUUAUUGACGCUGAUGCACGAAAGCGUGGGGAUCAAACAGGAUUAGAUACCCUGGUAGUCCACGCUGUAAACUAUGAUCACUCGUUUUUGGCGAUAUAUAGUCAGAGACUGAGCGAAAGC
Molecule: ribosomal RNA, 608 nt
Filed under: uncultured bacterium
Lineage: Bacteria
Description: bacterial SSU rRNA
Rfam family: Bacterial small subunit ribosomal RNA
Source: RNAcentral